RNAcentral lists this ribosomal RNA (239 nucleotides) under uncultured Lactobacillus sp. RNAcentral's name for it is "partial 16S ribosomal RNA". It matches the Rfam family "Bacterial small subunit ribosomal RNA", at positions 124 to 354 of the family's 1533-position model. The record is from RNAcentral. Lineage: Bacteria; Bacillati; Bacillota; Bacilli; Lactobacillales; Lactobacillaceae.
CCCUGCCCCAUGCUCCAGAAUAGCUCUUGGAAACAGGUGCUAAUACCGGAUAAGAAAGCAGAUCGCAUGAUCAGCUUUUAAAAGGCGGCGUAAGCUGUCGCUAUGGGAUGGCCCCGCGGUGCAUUAGCUAGUUGGUAAGGUAAAGGCUUACCAAGGCGAUGAUGCAUAGCCGAGUUGAGAGACUGAUCGGCCACAUUGGGACUGAGACACGGCCCAAACUCCUACGGGAGGCAGCAGGC